GGGAACCUGCGGCUGGAUCACCUCCUUUCUAAGGAUGAUCCUUCAGCGAGCUCACGCUCACUAUCGGAUCGUUUUAGAAACAUCAGUGGCCAACAGAUCGCCAGAUCGUUGAGCUGCAUUGGCGGGAUUUCGCCGUCUUCGUUUCUCUUUCUUCGCGGACGAACACGCGCUGGGCCUGCAUCAAGCAGGAUCCCACGGUCCCUGACGGGAUAUGCGUUAGGGGCUUGUAGCUCAGUUGGUUAGAGCGCGCGCUUGAUAAGCGUGAGGUCGGAAGUUCAAGUCUUCCCAGGCCCACCACUUUCAUCGAGUGAGCAUUCGUCUUCUGGUUACGGGGCCAUAGCUCAGCUGGGAGAGCGCGUGCUUUGCAAGCAUGAGGUCGUCGGUUCGAUCCCGUCUGGCUCCACCACGCUUCGCCUUUCAGGCUUCGCGUGGCGCAGCCAAGCACGGUCGAAGCGUGCCCGGCGUAGCUCACUUGAGCGUAGACGGGCUGGUUGAGAUCAGCCCGUAACCAUCACCGUCCGCGAAACAUCACUUCGUAUCCUGCUAGUCUGGAUAGACAGCAAGAUGCGUGUUUUCUGACAUCGUAAAGAGGAGAUCGAUCCGAGUUGGGUCGUGCAGCAGAUUGUUGCGCGAAUCCUUCAUUAUCUCCGGAUCAUUUUCGGCGCUCGCUUUCAGCCGUGAGGUUGAAUGCGAGUUGUAAAAUGAUCCUUUUAGCGAAGCUUGACCGCCUCGCUAUCGGAACGAUCUUACGAAGCAAGCUGGUCUUUCUAGUCAAUGUCCGGCUGCACGUAGCAUUCAUCGAGGGUGCGCGCCGUAAGGCAAUCGUGCAGACAACAUUCUGCCGAGUGUGUGGACAUUGAUAAUGAGAGCAAUCAAGUGCCUUAAGGG
RNAcentral lists this transfer RNA (888 nucleotides) under Bradyrhizobium sp. BR 3267. Its description in RNAcentral is "partial contains 16S ribosomal RNA, 16S-23S ribosomal RNA intergenic spacer, and 23S ribosomal RNA". The stretch from base 221 to 294 matches the Rfam family "tRNA". The record is from RNAcentral. Lineage: Bacteria; Pseudomonadati; Pseudomonadota; Alphaproteobacteria; Hyphomicrobiales; Nitrobacteraceae.